This is a long non-coding RNA of Mirounga angustirostris (Northern elephant seal), 5765 nucleotides long. RefSeq lists it as uncharacterized. The transcript has 3 exons. Lineage: Eukaryota; Metazoa; Chordata; Mammalia; Carnivora; Phocidae. The record is from RefSeq and is a predicted model, not a curated record.
AGUGGGGGAUGCGAAACGAACUCCAUCCCCUGCAGAGUCGGUGCCUUUGGGGACUCCACCGCCGCGCGCUCCCACCCGCAAGGUUUGCAGGACCUGCCGAAGAACUCUCCCAUCGUGCAAGAGAGAAAAUGAAACUCUCUCCUGGCCUCUGUCAGGGAAAUUAAAAUUCCCCCACUUUCCUGCAAGUUUCCCCAACCUCGUGAGUCUGAUUUCCAGAUCAAAGAGUAAGAAGAGAGGAAAAUUCUUAAGCCUUCUAAGAGUGAGGCCCUCAAGACAUUUCCAAGCUGCCUGGACAAAGGCUUGGAAUGACUACAAUAGUGAACCAUCCUGCCUUGGACCUGAACCUAGAUUGAUGACCUAAUACAUCUUUUCCAACUCUGACUGCCAUGGUUUUAUGAGCAUCAAGAACUGGGCGUCUGCCAUGGUCAACAAGUACAGCUUCUUCGGAGCUCGAACAUCCACAGAAACUCAAGUAUCGCCCAAAAGAACGGAGAUCGCACAGUCUCCCGGGGCUCUGGGGUGCUGCCUCUAGCUUUCACGUGUGACCCCGAAACUCCUCUUUGGCAGGGUAACUCUUAAAGGAAAGUAAGUGUGUCCGUUACUCUCCCCUGUUAUCUUGGUUCAAGAACUCUGAGUCAGACCAGGGCAGAUCUCUGGGAAGCUAAUUAAGCUUAGCUUGAGGCCCUGUCCUUUUCAGGGGCCUCUUCGGAAUACUGUACCUAAUUUUGUAUUUGUAAUUUUGCAUUUUCUGUAACGAAGAGUCCCCUUAAUUGUAUAAGCUAUAGCGUCCCCCACCCCCACCCCCCGCCGCCACAGUAAGAAUCUGCCCCUGAGCUGGGUAAAUUGCACCACAUCUUAGUUUGGUAGGAAAGUGUAAAAAUUAAAUACAAACUCUUCUUCAUCUUUUAUGACACCCCCCCACACCCCACCUCUGGCAAGUCACAGUUAAAGAAGAGACCUCUUAGAGUCUCUGGUUCUCAGAAGUCCUCUCAACCACAGCAGUGGUUCAAAAACUGAUUGCAUUUUAAAUUUAUUCUCCUUAGCUCCUCUUUAAAAGAACAUUUCGUUGUGGGCUAAUUAUUACAAUGGCUUGUAGACUCUAAAGGCCAGAAGAAUUUCCACGAGUGGCCUCCCUUUGGUUAAGCUGCAUCCCUCUUCCAAUUUCAGCUAAGUUUUGUUUUCCAGUAAAGUUAAUGGGUUUGGACUAGCCUUCUACACUUUUGUAACAGGGCUCUCAAGGGACCAACCUACAGCAAUAUUUAUUUUUUCUGAUUACAAAAGUAAUGGCAUAUCUAUAUAAAUAUAUAUAUACACAUAUAUAAAUAACUUGAAACACUAUAGUAAUAUGUAGCAUUGAAAGUGAAAAUCUUCCAUAAUCCCACACAGCUGAGAAAACCAGGUAACAUUUUUUUCAAGGCACUUAUUAAAAUUUCAUUUAUUAUUUUACAAAAAAAUGGGAUUAUAGUUCAACUUUGAAGCAUGCUAUUCUCCACCUAGUAAUAUGUCUUAGACAUCUUUCUAUGCCAGUCUGAAAAAAGUGAGCUUCUUUUUAAUCUUCUUUUUAAUGGCUUCACGGUAUUGUCCUGUAGGACCAAACCAUACUAUCUUUAACCAAUUGCCUGUUAAUGCACAUUUGGGUUCUUUCCAGUUUUCCCUGUACCAAAUAUUCUUGCAAACAUCAUUUUACGCUUACAUCUUUGAGCCGUUGUAGGAAUAUUUCUCUAUGAUGAAUUCCCCGGAGGUGAAUUAUUAUUGGGUCAAAGGGUAUGAACAUUUCAUUUUUAAUAGCUAUUGCCAAAUUGCCCUCCAAUAAUUUUAUACCGAUUUACACCUUCAACCACACUGUAAGAAGGAGCCUGUUUCCCCACCACCACCCCCCCCUUAGCAACACUAAAACCAUGCAAUUUAGGGAUGUCUGAUGUGAGUUAGGAGUUAAGAGGUUCAGCCUGUGGAGUUUUUUGCCUUUGUGAAAAGCUAACAAAGACAUCAAAAGUCUCCCCCUUUCCUUGAUGAACCCCCUGCUCUGAGUGGGCCGAUACCCAGACAGACAUCUAGCUAAUGUGAGAGGUAAAAAUGCUAACACCUAAUGCUUGUAUCUAGCUGGUUUUUUCAGAGAUAAUUUGUUGUUGAGUGUAUAAGCAAAUGUGUUAGUUAUAGAAUACUUAAUAACUUAAUUGUUCAAGAAAUAGAAAUCGGUCCUGACGUCAGCACUGCUGUUUUAAUGUAAACAACAUAUUUAAUCUUAGAGCAUCAGUAUGUUUACAUCUGCAAAACUCCUUGAUUUCAUCUUUACGUUUAUUGGUGCAAAGCAAUUUGAAAAAGCUAUUCUUUAAAGAUAUGUGAAAAGUGGCUUUGAGUCGGCCCUAUUAAAGAAGAACAAGGUUUGCCAAUACCCAGGUUUCAGGAAUUGUUUUGAGGAUUACCAUGGUUUACAUCCCCGGAAUUAGGAUCGCUGGGCUUUAGACGGGAAAAAACUUUAGGGGUUAUCCAGGCAAAAGAUUUCAAAACUCUGCUCCACAAAGCCCUGGGGUUGCUUCAGGGAGACAGAAGAGGUUGGUGGCAGAGAAGGCAGGCGGCGGUUAAAGGUUCGUGGUAUCCCAAUCCUAAUUGCACCACAAGAGUCCUGCUUUGAUCUCCUUCAUAUGGUGGGUUAUAUAUUAUGUCAUCUGGAGCAAGUUGAUCUCUUAUUUUCCUCUUCUGUAAAACAGACACGAUAACAGUGCCUAUUUAGGAGUAGUGAAGAUUAAAUUAAGUAAUACUAUACACGUACAGCGCUUAGCCCAGGGCCCCACACAUGUCAAGGACCCAGGAAAGGUUUACUAAUCUAUUAUUUAAGAUUUUCCUUUGAAAAGGCAUUCUAUUGCUUACAUCUCAAAACCACCCGUUUACUUCUGCAUCUGUACAAUAAGGUGAUUAUUUUAGGUGGAGUUUUAGAUUUGCUUGAUUUCCUGCUACCCAGUCCAGUGAUCUUACUCUCAGAUCCCAGGACAUGUUGCUGGAGAUGCUGGGGGCUCGGAGGAUAACUGGUCUCCCCCACACCAGGUGGUGGCCCUUUCCACCCAGCUGGCCAAGAUCAUGGCUCCUGUAUCUGCCUUGCUCUUGAUUUAUGAAAGAAAUAUGACCUUGUGAAGAAAAGUUUUCCUUGCACUGUGGCCGAAGUUGCCCUCAGGUUCACCCCGAGAAUCGAACAUGAAAGUUGCGAACUGUUAGAAACCUUAGCUAGUUGCCAUCUCUUCCAUGAUUAUGAGGACAACUGAAAGGAGUUCCGAAAUGGACCCUUAAGCCUUCUAAAACUGGCUGAAUUUUCUGUUCUUGGCCAGACACUUGUAAAAGGAAGAACUCAUCCAACAAACAUACACCCUUAUCAAUCCUUUUCUUAGGAAAGUUUGUCUUCGUGUAGGGGAAGUUUUCAAGUUUUCCUAGUGAAUCACAGACGUGAGGCAGGAUGGGGAGAGCUUCAAGCAUCUUCCUUUUUGAGUAUGUCUAACGUGACACCAAAAAUCAGGGAGUGAGAAGCAAAACCUUCUACACUGUGCAUCUUUUCUACCCAAGAACUGCUUCCAUGCCAGUCGCUGCUGCUGUCUGAGAGCCAGACGUGGGCUUGGGGAGGGGCUUCUCUGUGUCAGGGCCAUUCAGGGUCUGUGGUAGACUGAGCAACAAGUAGACAGAAAAGCUGUAGAAUUAAGAGUUGAAAACAGCGUUUAAUGAAACCCCUCCCUCCAGACGCUCUUGAUCAAAGUCUAUCCUUGCACUAAGACAAUUGAUCUACAGUUGCAUACAUAAAAUUUUGGCAACACUCUGUCCUCAUUGCUUUCAACAGAGGCUUUAGACCUCUGAGACUGGGCAUUGUCCCAGAAUUGAGAUCCAGUUGCAUUACGCAUACCAGAAGACACACCACCACAGCCGAGGCCCGUGCAACCACUUUCUUUUAACCUCGCGUCUGUGAAAAAUUACUUUCCAAAAAAAUAAGUGAAACCCGAUGUCUUCUCCGGGUGGUUAUUCUUGCGCCUAUGAAGUCAAUAAAACUCUCCAGAUUUAUUAGACAGCCCUGCUGCGGAAGACAAGACCACUUCCUAUUCCCUAGCAGAAAUGUGUGCCUUUCCUUUCUGUAACCUUCUGACCACAGAUUUUCAUUUUACUCUGUUUCUUUUAUUUUUCUCAGAAAACUGGUCAGAACCCUGUAAGAUAAGUGGCUUGGCCUGCACUAAAAUUCCAAUUUCUGGCCUCCAAGAGUGAUAAAAUGAGCACAUUUCAGGCUCCUCUAGCUUUUCUUGUUUACUUCCCAUUUUCGAGAGGCCCUCUUUUCUUCAGGCCAGAAGUAGCAGAGUCUGGUCGUCUCUCCUGCCACCAUGCUAAGCAUGAAAUGUAGCACCUACCAACAAAUUAUAUUCCUGUGAUAGCCCACUAACCAGGGGGUGAUGACCAUGAAGAAGAUGACUGGAUUCAGUUCUAUUUACUACAAUAGUAUUUAUUGAGCUCCUACUACAUAGCAAGGGUCUUUCCUGGGUAUGAAGAUGCAAAGAUAUAGAGGAUGUUGUGCCUUCUUUCAAGGGUGAAAUCAACACGUUAAUGAGUAAAAGUCUGAGUGUGACUGAUUCCGUAAUAAACAACGUUGUGGGAUACAACAACUAGAACAUGGGAAGGGACUGAAAGUUUUCUCAGAGAGGAUGACUCUUGGACUCUGUGUUUAAAGAUGAGUAGGAGGUUAUCAGAUGAACUUGGGGAAAGGCAGCCCGAGCAGAGGGACCAGCAAGCACAGAGAAUCAGAGGUGUGGAAUAGCAGGGCAUAUUUGGGGCCUAAGAAGUUGUAUGCAUUGAAUGAAGGCCAAAAGAUUGUAAGCAACCUGUGUUCUUACAUGAAUGUGGGUAUAUUUUUUGGUGAUGGGGAGCUACUGGAUGGGUUAAAGGCUUGGAGCGAUUGUGGUAGCAUGAGCAAGGAGGUGGGGGACAAGUGGCCGAGAGCUAUCCUGGGGAGGCAUGAAGACAACCUAAACUGGGCCAGUGUGGUCGAAAUGAAGAGGGCGAUUCAGAGCGAGAGCAAAGAAGACAUGAAAAGGAAGUAGAGUGGUAAAGACUCUCACUCCAGAAUGACUUCUAAGCGGUUGUAUUCCAUUAUUUAAGAGUGCAAAUUACCUCCAAAAUGCUUUUAAUUGUAAGUUACUGACUCACUAAUUCUUUUUUCUCCUACCUAUUUCCAGAAAUGACUUGAGGUAGGAACCAAUUUUGUACCUAGAGCCAGGUCCAUCCUAUAUGACUGUGGGGCCUUUGGCCAAUCGAUGAGCUACUGAAGAGCAUUUUAGGACAUUAUUGCUGGCUCAGUCAUUCUGAAUACCAUUAAAAGAAGUUUAUACCGGGCGCCUGGGUGGCUCAGUUGGUUGAGCGACUGCCUUCGGCUCAGGUCAUGAUCCUGGAGUCCCUGGAUCGAGUCCCACAUCGGGCUCCCUGCUCGGCGAGGAGCCUGCUUCUCCCUCUAACCCUCCCCCCUCUCAUGUACUUUCUCGCUCUCUCAAAUAAAUAAAUAAAUCUUAAAAAAAAAAAAAAAGAAAUUUAUACCAGUGCUAUCUUGACUAGUUUCAGUUUGGAUUAUCCUCAUGUUAAUACGCCAUAUAUCUUAACUAGCACUUCCUUGGGUGAUAACUUCUAGUUCAUUUACUCAUAUUUUUGGGCAUUAAGAGAGAAGACGCUCUUGCCUACAUCACUCAUCUGACAAAGGAAAAAUGAAGUGCAGCAUUUGGGGAGUCAGAUAACUCUUGGUUUGUUCCCCA